CCUACGGGAGGCAGCAGUGAGGAAUAUUGGUCAAUGGCCGGAAGGCUGAACCAGCCAUGCCGCGUGAAGGUCAGUGCCCUAUGGGCGUUAAACUUCUUUUGUGCGGGAGCAAUAAUGGUCACGUGUGGCCAGACGAGAGUACCGUACGAAUAAGCAUCGGCUAACUCCGUGCCAGCAGCCGCGGUAAUACGGGGGAUGCAAGCGUUAUCCGGAUUUAUUGGGUUUAAAGGGUGCGUAGGCUGUGAGGUAAGUCAGCGGGGAAAUGCCCCCGCUCAACGGGGUGAAGUGCCAUUGAUACUGCCUUGCUGGAAUGCGGAAGCCGUGGGAGGAAUGUGUGGUGUAGCGGUGAAAUGCAUAGAUAUCACACAGAACACCGAUUGCGAAGGCAUCUCACGAAUCCGCGAUUGACGCUGAUGCACGAAAGCGUGGGUAUCAAACAGGAUUAGAUACCCCGGUAGUC
Molecule: ribosomal RNA, 460 nt
Filed under: uncultured bacterium
Lineage: Bacteria
Description: partial 16S ribosomal RNA
Rfam family: Bacterial small subunit ribosomal RNA
Source: RNAcentral